This 549-nucleotide long non-coding RNA is filed under the name Mustela putorius furo (domestic ferret). Its description in RNAcentral is "lncRNA (ENSMPUG00000027915.1)". The record is from RNAcentral. Lineage: Eukaryota; Metazoa; Chordata; Mammalia; Carnivora; Mustelidae.
AGACAGUGUAGGCUGGAACCUCAGGCCAAACAUGCCAGAAACAUGGCAGUAAAAUUCUGUUGGUCAAUAGUGGUGAAGGUCUGGUUAAGAUCACAGCCUGGGGACAUGAGAAGAUGGAUAGAGGGACCCUGCAGGAGCAAGACCGGCCAUCUUAUCAGAGGACUUAGGGUCUGGGACAUGUGAUGAAGACUUUUCAGGGGACAGAGACUGCAGAUGGCCAUGUGGUGGGUUCCUUGGAAGGAAGGGCCUAAUCACAGCUGGAUACACUCAAAUGGUGGAUAUAUCACACACCACUGGAGGAUGAAAAAGGAAGUAAUGAGGGUAAUGAGCCAUGAGCACUGUUGGAAAUCAUUCCACGCAGGCAGCCUCAUCCUCUGGAUCGAACAGAUAUUAUUGGCACAGUACCAACUGCUGGAAGAUGAGAGAGGAAAAAAAAGAAGAAAGAAGGAAACAGUGAUCAUGAUAAUAAAUUUCUUUAAGCAUCUGAUGAAUGUUUGUGCAAUAGCAUUUGGUGGUUUGUUGUUAUUCAGGUCCUUUUUGAGGGAGAAA